GUGCCAGCAGCCGCGGUAAUACGGAGGAUCCGAGCGUUAUCCGGAUUUAUUGGGUUUAAAGGGUGUGUAGGCGGCUUUAUAAGUCAGUGGUGAAAGACGGCAGCUCAACUGUCGCAGUGCCUUUGAUACUGUAGAGCUUGAAUGUGAUUGAAGAUGGCGGAACGAGACAAGUAGCGGUGAAACGCAUAGAUAUGUCUCAGAACUCCGAUCGCGAAGGCAGCUGUCUAAGUCAUUAUUGACGCUGAUGCACGAAAGCGUGGGGAUCGAACAGGAUUAGAAACCCGUGUAGUCC
Molecule: ribosomal RNA, 292 nt
Filed under: uncultured prokaryote
Description: partial 16S ribosomal RNA
Rfam family: Bacterial small subunit ribosomal RNA
Source: RNAcentral